CAGGAAGUUGCAGGCAGGGGAGGAAGAGCUGGAGGAAGCUUCCUAGAGGAUUCCCUGGCUGCGGAUGCAAGCCAGUCACUCGGUUUAAACUCAAACCAGGACCAGUUUGACUGGGACAAAACCGCGCCAGGCUGAGUCGGCUCGAAACUUCUGCGCACAUCCCUAAUAUCCUGAGACAUCGCUGGUGCCACAAAGCCAAAUCCAGUGCCUCAGUCCAGUAAUAGUGAACUUCAGCAUCUUUACUAAUUACAUUAGCACAAAUCUGACAUGAGACACUCCUUAUCAUCCCUGCUCAACAGCUUAUAGCAUGUGUUGAUUUGAGUGGGAGUGGCUCUGGGCUAGCUUCUAGUACCAGGUGGUGGCAACAUACUCUUGCAAGCUGUGCCCAAGAUCCAAAUCUCACAGGGGGCCAAACUCUAGUAAGAGGUCAUUGCCACAAGGGACAGGGAUGCUCAGUAAUACCUUUUAGGACCAGAGCCUUAAGUGACAAGUAAGGACGACACUCAGUCUGUCUCGUAGUUAAAAUGUCUGUUAAAAAUGAAACUCCGUUUACAGCCAAACCUUUCCUGGUUGCCACUCAAGUCUUGUUAUUGACUGACCCUAUUAACAAGAUUCUAUUUGGGGAGAAAUAAUCUUGCCAUAAAACGCUUGCAGUGUAUUUCUUUUUCUCAUAUUGUUUCUUGCUCCACAGUAACUUUCAAAAUUCAUUAUUAAACAAAGGUUGUAUUUAAGAUUCCUCUGUCUACUGCUUAACAACACCCAAAUUAGCCUCGAUGGAAUUAACUGUAAUUAAGGACAUUGUGAAAUAUGGUUGGGGCAAACAGAAUUACACUGUAUUACUUUAUUAAUAAUAUUCUUUAACUACACUGUAAAUUGCUAUUAGGCCUGCAUAUUACUGCCUGGAUAUGGAAAUAGUCUUUUGCUAUGCUAAUCUAACACAAUUUUCUUUUAAAUGUAAACAAAUUAUACUCUAUUAAUAUGCUGUUCUACUUACAUAGUUAAUUAUUGUAACAGUAAGGAAUAAAAUUGUUCUGCUUUUUCUGUUUCUGAUGGAAAAAGGGCUACAUAAAUAGUUUAAUAGGGAAUAAUUAUGCAAAAAAUUUAGAUGCCUAAAAUGUGUUUGUAAUUACAUUAAAAUGGUCUUCUGUUCAAAUAUUGGAAAGCCUGCUAAUUGGAGGCUAGCUGGAAAUUUAAAUAUUGUGAAUCAAUGAUUUUAAUACACUA
Long non-coding RNA from Hemicordylus capensis (graceful crag lizard), 1224 nucleotides. RefSeq lists it as uncharacterized. Lineage: Eukaryota; Metazoa; Chordata; Lepidosauria; Squamata; Cordylidae. The transcript is spliced from 2 exons. The record is from RefSeq and is a predicted model, not a curated record.